UACGUAGGGGGCAAGCGUUGUCCGGAAUCAUUGGGCGUAAAGCGCGUGUAGGCGGCCCGGUAAGUCCGCUGUGAAAGUCCAGGGCUCAACCCUGGGAUGCCGGUGGAUACUGUCGGGCUCGAGUCCGGAAGAGGAGUGUGGAAUUCCUGGUGUAGCGGUGAAAUGCGCAGAUAUCAGGAGGAACACCGGUGGCGAAGGCGGGUCUCUGGGCCGAUACUGACGCUGAGGAGCGAAAGCGUGGGGAGCGAACAGG
This 253-nucleotide ribosomal RNA is filed under the name uncultured bacterium. RNAcentral describes it as "partial 16S ribosomal RNA". It matches the Rfam family "Bacterial small subunit ribosomal RNA", at positions 524 to 776 of the family's 1533-position model. The record is from RNAcentral.